UGGGGAAUUUUGCACAAUGGGGGAAACCCUGAUGCAGCGACGCCGCGUGAUUUAGAAGGCCUUCGGGUUGUAAAAAUCUUUUCUAUGGGAAGAAAAUGACAGUACCAUAGGAAUAAGGACCGGCUAAUUACGUGCCAGCAGCCGCGGUAAUACGUAAGGUCCGAGCGUUGUCCGGAAUCAUUGGGCGUAAAGGGUACGUAGGCGGGUAAGCAAGUUAGAAGUGAAAUCCUAUAGCUCAACUAUAGUAAGCUUUUAAAACUGCUCAUCUUGAGGUAUGGAAGGGAAAGUGGAAUUCCUAGUGUAGCGGUGAAAUGCGCAGAUAUUAGGAGGAAUACCGGUGGCGAAGGCGACUGUCUGGCCAUAACCUGACGCUGAGGUACGAAAGCGUGGGUAGCAAACAGGA
Molecule: ribosomal RNA, 403 nt
Filed under: bacterium
Lineage: Bacteria
Description: partial 16S ribosomal RNA
Rfam family: Bacterial small subunit ribosomal RNA
Source: RNAcentral